Molecule: ribosomal RNA, 496 nt
Filed under: uncultured bacterium
Lineage: Bacteria
Description: partial 16S ribosomal RNA
Rfam family: Bacterial small subunit ribosomal RNA
Source: RNAcentral
GAUGAACGCUGGCGGCGUGCCUAAUACAUGCAAGUCGAGCGAACGGACGAGAAGCUUGCUUCUCUGAUGUUAGCGGCGGACGGGUGAGUAACACGUGGAUAACCUACCUAUAAGACUGGGAUAACUUCGGGAAACCGGAGCUAAUACCGGAUAAUAUUUUGAACCGCAUGGUUCAAAAGUGAAAGACGGUCUUGCUGUCACUUAUAGAUGGAUCCGCGCUGCAUUAGCUAGUUGGUAAGGUAACGGCUUACCAAGGCAACGAUGCAUAGCCGACCUGAGAGGGUGAUCGGCCACACUGGAACUGAGACACGGUCCAGAAUCCUACGGGAGGCAGCAGUAGGGAAUCUUCCGCAAUGGGCGAAAGCCUGACGGAGCAACGCCGCGUGAGUGAUGAAGGUCUUCGGAUCGUAAAACUCUGUUAUUAGGGAAGAACAUAUGUGUAAGUAACUGUGCACAUCUUGACGGUACCUAAUCAGAAAGCCACGGCUAACUACGU